Priapulus caudatus is the source of this 497-nucleotide long non-coding RNA. RefSeq lists it as uncharacterized. The transcript has 2 exons. NCBI's taxonomy places the organism in Eukaryota, Metazoa, Priapulida, Priapulimorpha, Priapulimorphida, Priapulidae. The record is from RefSeq and is a predicted model, not a curated record.
CACUAACACUAGGAAUGCUCACUUGUUUCACAGAGAGGUUGGCUGCUGCGGUCACACGUGUGACCCUAAACCUCCAUGCCACAUAAACCCAUGCUUUUUUACGCGGUGUGGACCAGGCACCGUAUGCAAGACGGAUGAAAAUUGCCGGGGAGUAUGUGUGGACAGGCCGCUGAAGGGUUAGAGUGCAUCACCGCUCAAUAAUACAAGCAUGUGAUAUCGGCCUGCCAUCUGGUGUCGGACAACAUAACAACUUUAAUAUAUAUGUUCUGGAGAAUGCUACAAUUACCCAGUGAUGUUAAUUAAUAUUAAAUAUAAUAAUAAUAUAUUUCUCAAUAAUUAUUUUAAGUAUGAUAUGGCAAUCACAUUAUUCAAGAAGAGUUUGUACUCCAUGCAUUCAUGCUCACUAGCUUGUUGUACUGCAAUUAUGCUUUCUGGGCAAAAUGUUUAAUGUCAAUUAAUAAUAAUCUCUACAAUAAAAAUCAUUUCUAACUAUCUAA